Molecule: ribosomal RNA, 464 nt
Filed under: uncultured bacterium
Lineage: Bacteria
Description: partial 16S ribosomal RNA
Rfam family: Bacterial small subunit ribosomal RNA
Source: RNAcentral
GACGAACGCUGGCGGCGUGCUUAACACAUGCAAGUCGAACGGAAAGGCCCCUUUGGGGGUCCUCGAGUGGCGAACGGGUGAGUAACACGUGAGUAACCUGCCCUUGACUUCGGGAUAACUUCAGGAAACUGGGGCUAAUACCGGAUAGGAAUCCUUGCUGCAUGGUGGGGUUGGAAAGCUUCGGCGGUUUUGGAUGGACUCGCGGCUUAUCAGCUUGUUGGUGGGGUAGUGGCUUACCAAGGCUUUGACGGGUAGCCGGCCUGAGAGGGCGACCGGCCACAUUGGGACUGAGAUACGGCCCAGACUCCUACGGGAGGCAGCAGUGGGGAAUAUUGCACAAUGGGCGGAAGCCUGAUGCAGCAACGCCGCGUGCGGGAGGACGGCCUUCGGGUUGUAAACCGCUUUCAGCAGGGGCGAAGCUUGUGGUGACGGUACCUGCAGAAGAAGCACCGGCUAACUACGUG